GAAUAUUAAUAAUUCUUUGUACUUCUCGGCAUUUAUUUACCUAUUCUUUCAAAAGUUAGCCUCAGCAUUUCUACAGAAUAAUGGUUUUAGAGAUGUUAAAACUAGUCAAAGAAGACUGGGUCCAUGAAUAACAACCAUGAAGAAAGCUGCUCACCAAUAAGAAACACCUGUUUUAGACCCAGCUAAAGUUUCACUGAACAGAUCAUGUGAAAGCAUUAAUGAUUACACAAUGCACGGAGUUAGUAAGGGUAAUCAGCCCAAAUGAAGCUCUUGGGUACAGUGCAGUGAAAGGAGCCAAGUCACUGGCUCUCCGCAGAGAACGCCUGAUGAAUGGUCAAGCAGAAGAAGCCACACAGGGGCCUGGAAGUUCAGAGACAAAACAAGAAGCUAGCGCAACUAGGCAGAGACCUAAGGAGCCGAGCUUAAAGGCAGAAAGAACUAGUGUGUUCUCACCACCUCUGUGACUUUCUCUAGGAGAAAUAACCAGUUGUCUUUGCUCACAGUGUUGGAAGAUACGAACACUAGUCAAGGAACGGGAAGACCCAUGCUCUAGUCCUGGUCUGUGCACAGGCUAGCAAUGAAAUGUUAAUCAAAUUACCUCACCCCUCUGGAUUGUAGGUUAUCUACUUGUAAAACAAAAGGUACACACUUGAGAAUCACCUAGAGAAACUUCCUUAAAACGGCUUCAUUUGGCAUUUUCUAGUAGUUCACUC
Suricata suricatta (meerkat) is the source of this 713-nucleotide long non-coding RNA. RefSeq lists it as uncharacterized. The transcript is spliced from 4 exons. NCBI's taxonomy places the organism in Eukaryota, Metazoa, Chordata, Mammalia, Carnivora, Herpestidae. The record is from RefSeq and is a predicted model, not a curated record.